AAAAUCACCACAUGCAUGACAGUAUGACUCGAUUAGAAUUAGAUAGAAAAAUGAGAAGAUCCGUCUUCAGUUACCGGCGAGGAAUGCCGAAAACCGAAGUGGAAGAUCGGUAAUUUUUUUUUAGUGCAGAGAAAAAUUAAGAAAGAAAAGAGAAACCCAUAAAAAUAGAGAUAGUUUCUCA
RNAcentral lists this small RNA (181 nucleotides) under Arabidopsis thaliana (thale cress). RNAcentral's name for it is "ATSL220060". Lineage: Eukaryota; Viridiplantae; Streptophyta; Magnoliopsida; Brassicales; Brassicaceae. The record is from RNAcentral.